This is a non-coding RNA of Gossypium arboreum, 107 nucleotides long. The record is from Rfam. NCBI's taxonomy places the organism in Eukaryota, Viridiplantae, Streptophyta, Magnoliopsida, Malvales, Malvaceae.
AAUCCAUGGCGAGGGCACAUUCUCAAUAAAUCCUUGUAUCUCUUCCAUGCAUCAUAUAGUGUUUCUAAAUUCAUCCGUACAAAAGAAGAGUUAUCAUUCCUCAAUUU